AUGAGGUCGAGCAUGCAAGAAGGGAUGACAAGCAGUUUAGCUCUUGGAUCCUCUCGAGCCGAGGCGUCCUUCAGGGUGUACUACAGCCUCGGCGCCGGCGCCGUGCCGUUCGUCUGGGAGACCAAGCCCGGCACGCCCAGGCGCACCAUCGACCCCGUCAUCGCCGCCAGCGACGCGCUGCCGCCAAUCACGCCGCCGCCACUGUACCAGUCCAAGACCAUGAAGAAAUGCGCAAGGAAGUCAUCUUCUUGCUGGCCUCCUCCGCUGAUGAUGAGCUGGCUAAACAUCAGGAGGCGCCACCGUCGUCGUGCAGUCGCGACAACAAGCCUGCACCAGACCGCGGCGUCGAAGAUCAACGGCUACGGCGGCGGCGUGCCAUCCUUGGGUGCUUCUGAGCCUAGCAUGGACCGUUGGAACUAG
Molecule: ribosomal RNA, 420 nt
Filed under: Triticum aestivum (bread wheat)
Lineage: Eukaryota; Viridiplantae; Streptophyta; Magnoliopsida; Poales; Poaceae
Description: partial small subunit ribosomal RNA
Source: RNAcentral